GCUAAUACCAUUCGAAUAGUAUCCCAUCUUGCUAUAGGAGCGAACACCUCAUUAUAGUUUAUCCCCUUUUCUUGAGCAUAUCCCUUGGCCACCAGUCUUGCCUUGCACUUACAAUUUCUCUAUUUUUAUUUAAUUUUUUUCGAUAGACCCACUUGACUCCAAUCAUUUUCACAUCGGAGGGAGCUUUUACCAGUUUCUAUGAUGAUUCUUCUUUAUUGCUUCAAUUUCAAGAUCCAUUGUCUUCCUCCAAUCUUUUAAUUUUACUUCUUGUUCAUAAGAUAAAUAAUCAUCAAUAGGUAAAAAUAACACAAAGUUUUGUACCUCAUCUUCUGAAAGACCUUCUUCACUCGUGUAAUCAUCUAGAUAUGCUGGAGCCCUUCUUUCUCAAGUUUGAGGAGAUACUGCUUCAUCAUUGGAGAGAUUUGCUACAUCAGUUGAGGUGGAGUUCUCAUCAGUUGAAUUUUUUUCAUUUAAAUCUGAUUCAUCUUCAUCAUUUUGAUUGUAUUCUUCUUCAUAGGCUUCUCCUCAAUCUGAUACAUCAUUUAUGGUUUCUUCUUUUAUACUGCUCCAAUUUUUGCUUUCAUGUUCUUCAAAAACCACGUCUCUGCUGAUGGUGAUUUUUUUGUCAGUGGAUCAAUAAUUUUGUAACCUUUGGAUUCGUCGCUGUAACCGAUCAGAACUUGGUUUUGGCUUCUUGCAUCUAGUUAUUGUCUUUUUGCCUCGGAUACAUGAACAUUUCCAAUGCAUCCAAACACCCGAAAGUAUUCAAUAUUGGGUUUGAGGUUACUCCAAUAUUCUUUAGGAGUUUUAUUCUUCAAGCAGCCAGUAGGACUUUUGUUUAACACAUGGCACGUCCAUUUUACAACAUUUAGCCAGAAUAUUUUGGGCAUCUUUUUUUCUUCAAGCAUGAAUCUCACCAUGUUGAGAAUGGUAUGGUUUUUACACUCAGCAACUCUAUUUUGCUGAGGCAUAUAAGCUGUUGUGAGUUGCCUUUUGAUGCCUUGUACCUUGCAAAAAUUUGAGAACUCCUCAGAGUUAAAUUCUUCUCCUCUGUCUGUUCUUAAAUCGUACAAUGAUAAACUAGACUCUUUCUCCACCAUUAUUUUGAAAUUUUUGAAAGUUAUAAAUGCCUCACUCUUCUCAUUCAGAAAAUAAACCCACAACUUUUGACUAAAAUCAUAUACGAAAGUUAACAGAUACCUCUUUUUGCUAUAUGAUGCAGGUGAAAUGGGGCCACAAAUAUCAAAGUGGAUGAGCUGCAGUUGCUUUGCUGCUCUCUAUUUACUUUUCUUUGGAAUAGCUUCUUUAUGUUGUUUCAUUUUCAUGCAGCCAGUGUAUCUAUUUGUUGGUGUUCUGAUUUUUGGAAUCCCUUGAACCAUCUUCUUAGUAUGCAAUAAUACCAAAUGUUUGUAACUCAAAUGUCCAUAUUGUUUGUGCUGAAUAUUGCUGGAAUCCUCAUUGUAUAUGUUAAAAUAGGAGGUUGAUGUCAUGAGAAUAUUUGUGGUGACCACAAACAUCCUAUUGGCAGUCAUUGUACUUUCCAUUAUAAGCCCACGAGUUGGAUGGUAUAGCUUGCAAGGUCCAUGUUUGAUUAGAAUAGUGAUGCCUCGAUCUUGUGAUUGGCCUAUACUGAGUAAAUUAUUGCUUAAAUCAGGUAUAAAAUACACAUCCCUUAUUGUUUAGACUUUUCUUCCAAAUUUCAGCUUGAUGUCUCAUUUCUCUUUCACCAUAAGUUUAGAGUCGUUCCCAAGUUUUACCGAAUGCUUGAAUCCUUCAUCAAGUCUUAUGAACCAUUCUUUAUUUCCAGACAUGUGAUUUGAACACCCGAAAUCGAGAAACCGUAUUCCUUCCCUUUUGUUUUGCUUUAGAUCUACUUAUGCCAUCAGUAGCAUCUCGGCUUCAUAAUCAAUUUCUGCAUAAUGAGCUUUCUUUUCCUAAUUGGGACAUUCAUACUGAUAAUGCCCCAAAUUGUGACACUUUUAGCAUUCUACAGUUGCUUUAUCUAUAUUCUGCCUGCCACAACCUCGAGUCCAGCCUCUACCUCUUGCACCUCGAUCUUAAUUUGUGACCUUCAAGACCUGCUCUUCCUCAACUAGGCUUGCCAUUCUUUGUUCAUGAAUCAAUAGACUGCUCUAAAGUUCAUCUACUCUUAGGGCCUCAACAGUGUUUGAUUCCUCAAUUGAGCAUACAACAUAAUUAAAUUUAGGAACUAAGGAUCGCAGAAUCUUCCCUGUAAUAUCAGCUUCUUUGACAUUCUCUCCACAUGCUUUCAUAUUCUUGGCAAUUGAGAGAGUUCUUCCAAAAUAAACAUUGACAGUUUCUCCUUCCUUCAUUCUCAAUAUUUCAAACUCAGUUUUUAGACCUUGAAGUUGUGCUCUCUUGACCCUUAUUGAUCUAUUGAAUUUAUGCUUCAUUGAAUCUCAUAUUUUUUUAGAUGUUUCAUCAUUGAGAAUGGUCUCCAUGAUUUCUCUACUUAUUGCUUGGUAGAGAUAAUACUUCACUUUCUUGUUUUUCAAUUGUUGUUCUUCAAACAGCUUUACCUCUUCUUCAGAUGGUUCUCUCCCUGCUGGAAUUUCAUCUAUUCCAUCUUCUAUUAGGCUCCAAAAUUCCUUUGCUCGAAGGAAAUUCUCCAUCAACUUUGCCCGGUGUUUAUAGCAUCCAUCAAACUUGGGAACAGUAGGUUGCACAAACGCACCACUGUUGGAACUGCUUUCCGUCAUUCUUCACACUCUUCUCUCGUGUUCCUCUCAAAAGAAAACUCUAUUCUUUUCUUCAAUCAGGCCUCUUGGACCUGGCUCUUGAAACCAAAUGUAAAAUAAAAUGAUGAACUUAAUAAAGAAAUGCAACACAAUGCAAUCUGUAGUUCUCAUAACUUUGAAAGUAAACAGCAGUGGCUUUAAAUAGCUUUACAAAAACAGAAAAGCUAAAAAAAAAAAGCUAACAUCUCCCAUUAACUCAGGAAACUAAAAAAAAAAAAUCAAAAACAAUAAAAAACUAAGAUAUGCUCCUAAUAAUUAAGAACUUAUUCAACAAACAUUAGACCUAACAAUUAGGAGUCAGUUUGUUUGGAAGUUGUUUUUAUUUUCCAUUGAGCAGUUUUGAUGUAAGAGGAAGACUUAAAUUACUUUGUAAAUAAUCUCUCAGUUCUUUUCUUUGAGACAAAUUAUUUUUGCUGCAAGAAAUGUUCUAAAAAGUGUUAAAGGGGAGAUUGGUUAGAUAUUUAGUUGUGGAACAUGUCUGGAGCAACUUAUGCCAACAU
This 3259-nucleotide long non-coding RNA is filed under the name Gossypium barbadense (sea-island cotton). Its description in RNAcentral is "long non-coding RNA (GBAR_LNC001214)". Lineage: Eukaryota; Viridiplantae; Streptophyta; Magnoliopsida; Malvales; Malvaceae. The record is from RNAcentral.